UCCCUGGUGGUCCAGUGGCUAAGGCUUCCUACUCCCAGUGCAGGGGGCCCAGGUUCAAUCCCUGGUCGGGGAA
This 73-nucleotide transfer RNA is filed under the name Bos taurus (domestic cattle). It matches the Rfam family "tRNA". From Rfam's summary of the family: Transfer RNA (tRNA) molecules are approximately 80 nucleotides in length. The record is from Rfam by way of RNAcentral. Lineage: Eukaryota; Metazoa; Chordata; Mammalia; Artiodactyla; Bovidae.